UAGAGAAUACCAAGGCGCUUGAGAGAACUCGGGUGAAGGAACUAGGCAAAAUGGUGCCGUAACUUCGGGAGAAGGCACGCUGAUAUGUAGGUGAAGCGACUUGCUCGUGGAGCUGAAAUCAGUCGAAGAUACCAGCUGGCUGCAACUGUUUAUUAAAAACACAGCACUGUGCAAACACGAAAGUGGACGUAUACGGUGUGACGCCUGCCCGGUGCCGGAAGGUUAAUUGAUGGGGUUAGCGGUAACGCGAAGCUCUUGAUCGAAGCCCCGGUAAACGGCGGCCGUAACUAUAACGGUCCUAAGGUAGCGAAAUUCCUUGUCGGGUAAGUUCCGACCUGCACGAAUGGCGUAAUGAUGGCCAGGCUGUCUCCACCCGAGACUCAGUGAAAUUGAACUCGCUGUGAAGAUGCAGUGUACCCGCGGCAAGACGGAAAGACCCCGUGAACCUUUACUAUAGCUUGACACUGAACAUUGAGCCUUGAUGUGUAGGAUAGGUGGGAGGCUUUGAAGUGUGGACGCCAGUCUGCAUGGAGCCGACCUUGAAAUACCACCCUUUAAUGUUUGAUGUUCUAACGUUGGCCCGUAAUCCGGGUUGCGGACAGUGUCUGGUGGGUAGUUUGACUGGGGCGGUCUCCUCCUAAAGAGUAACGGAGGAGCACGAAGGUUGGCUAAUCCUGGUCGGACAUCAGGAGGUUAGUGCAAUGGCAUAAGCCAGCUUGACUGCGAGCGUGACGGCGCGAGCAGGUGCGAAAGCAGGUCAUAGUGAUCCGGUGGUUCUGAAUGGAAGGGCCAUCGCUCAACGGAUAAAAGGUACUCCGGGGAUAACAGGCUGAUACCGCCCAAGAGUUCAUAUCGACGGCGGUGUUUGGCACCUCGAUGUCGGCUCAUCACAUCCUGGGGCUGAAGUAGGUCCCAAGGGUAUGGCUGUUCGCCAUUUAAAGUGGUACGCGAGCUGGGUUUAGAACGUCGUGAGACAGUUCGGUCCCUAUCUGCCGUGGGCGCUGGAGAACUGAGGGGGGCUGCUCCUAGUACGAGAGGACCGGAGUGGACGCAUCACUGGUGUUCGGGUUGUCAUGCCAAUGGCACUGCCCGGUAGCUAAAUGCGGAAGAGAUAAGUGCUGAAAGCAUCUAAGCACGAAACUUGCCCCGAGAUGAGUUCUCCCUGACUCCUUGAGGGUCCUGAAGGAACGUUGAAGACGACGACGUUGAUAGGCCGGGUGUGUAAGCGCAGCGAUGCGUUGAGCUAACCGGUACUAAUGAACCGUGAGGCUUAACC
This 1276-nucleotide ribosomal RNA is filed under the name Escherichia coli. Its description in RNAcentral is "partial 23S ribosomal RNA". It matches the Rfam family "Bacterial large subunit ribosomal RNA", at positions 1672 to 2925 of the family's 2925-position model. Lineage: Bacteria; Pseudomonadati; Pseudomonadota; Gammaproteobacteria; Enterobacterales; Enterobacteriaceae. The record is from RNAcentral.